UGCGAACAGCAGUCAGCAGCAAGGCUGUAAGCAGCGAUGGAAGUGCAAGCAGUUAAUAUUCAUUGAUAAACUAAAAGUUUGAUGAAGCCAUUGCGGUAAGGACGCGCGUUUAAGUUGUAAUCCUAAGUUACGUGUGUGUGUUACAUGGUCGUGGGGUGCGUUCCCCGUACCUGUAAACCGCCCUAAGACGAGCCGAGGGCUCAAGGGCUCCACUAAAAGCACAUCUUGAAGCACUCACAAAAAAAUUCCCCAUCCAACUGAAACCACUCUCCUCCCCACCUGCGCAUAGCUCAUCUCCGCCUGUUGUAUCAGUACGAACGUUUGCUGCGAAAACACCUUUGGAGCCAGCCGAUGGAGAAACAUCCGAAGUAUUACAUUCAAGCCACACAGGGUGAGCUGAAUUUUAUCCUGACUGUACUGUUUUCCGUACAACGGUACGGAAUGUACAAGGGUACAUGGACGGCAUGGGAUAUACGGCAUUGCGCCAGGGUUUGGAUAAAGGGGUUUUAGGGGCCAAGAGAGCGGGGGCGAGUGGGGAUGAGAGUUUGGGACAACGGCGAAUAACCGCGGGUGCCCUAACGAUCUUGGGUGCUAAAUUAGGCAAUCCAGACAGGAGUAAAAGUAUUAUUGUGCAAGGAAAAGAAUCGCGUACGACAUGUAUUGUACGUCAACAAAGACAUUCGUUCAAAACGCCUACCUAAAAGCUCAGACCGAGUCAUACAUGCACUGGCGCUGUGAUGGCGGGAUGUGAUACAUGUGACCCUGCUCACAGGUGCCCCAAGGUGACGAGCCUAAAAAGGCCACCCGCAGCGAUCCGACACCUUGGCUUUUGGGGGUGUUUACGACAGGCUAAAUUGGCCGUGCUGCCGUACAGAACGAUAUGGCCCAUGCUGCUUCUGCACUGUCGUACCUGGUACGGCGCUCCGAAAGUCAUUAUCUCAGCCAGCGCCGCGGCCUCCGGCGCCCGGCGCCCCUCGUAAAGAGGCAGCGCCCGGGCCAGGUUGCCAUCCGCCGCGUGUAGAGCCUGAACAGGACAUUACCCCAGCGGGCGCAUAUGCCGGGGAAUCAGAACUUAACGCACUCCGAGAGUCCAAUCCAGACAGGAAUAGGUCCGGACCAGCUAGCAGGAAAAAACGGGGAGGGGGUUGGAUUGAGUGUAUGACAUAGGUAAUCUGCUAAUUGGAAAUCAGUGGUACGGACAAGUACGGCAAACUACGGCACUCCUUCACUUUGCAUCCCUGCAUAUUCACGACGCUGUACGGACCUAUAGCUGAAUACCGUCCCCCAACACUACAUCAUUCAGCGGCGUAGCCCCAAUCCCCCGCACCGCAGCAACUGCCCGUGCCUUGCCCCCUAAUGUACGGCUGCCGUACAGUACGGCGAUUACACACCUUUGCAAAUUCCAUCACGUCCUGCAUGGCGCUGUUUACUCCCUGCCCCAGGUCCGGUGGAAAGCAGUGUAUCGCGUCUCCCAAAAGUACCACGCCACAGGAGGAGGAGGCGGCGGCGGCGGCGGCGGCAAACUGCUGG
This 1530-nucleotide long non-coding RNA is filed under the name Volvox carteri. Its description in RNAcentral is "long non-coding RNA (VCAR_LNC001919)". Lineage: Eukaryota; Viridiplantae; Chlorophyta; Chlorophyceae; Chlamydomonadales; Volvocaceae. The record is from RNAcentral.